This 458-nucleotide ribosomal RNA is filed under the name uncultured Methanolinea sp. RNAcentral describes it as "bacterial SSU rRNA". It matches the Rfam family "Archaeal small subunit ribosomal RNA", at positions 881 to 1338 of the family's 1478-position model. The record is from RNAcentral. Lineage: Archaea; Methanobacteriati; Methanobacteriota; Methanomicrobia; Methanomicrobiales; Methanoregulaceae.
ACAACGGGUGGAGCCUUGCGGUUUAAUUGGACUCAACGCGGGCAGCUCACCGGAUAAGACAGCUGGAUGAUAGCCGGGCUGAAGACUCUGCUUGACUAGCUGAGAGGAGGUGCAUGGCCGUCGUCAGUUCGUACUGUGAAGCAUCCUGUUAAGUCAGGCAACGAGCGAGACCCACGCCAACAGUUGCCAGCAUGUCCUCCGGGAUGAUGGGGACACUGUUGGGACCGCCUCUGCUAAAGAGGAGGAAGGAAUGGGCAACGGUAGGUCAGCAUGCCCCGAAUUAUCCGGGCUACACGCGGGCUACAAUGGUCAGGACAAUGGGUAUCGACACCGAGAGGUGGAGGCAAUCUCCUAAACCUGUCCUUAGUUCGGAUUGUGGGCUGCAACUCGCCCACAUGAAGCUGGAAUCCGUAGUAAUCGCGUUCCAAAAUAGCGCGGUGAAUAUGUCCCUGCUCCUU